Molecule: RNA transcript, 1530 nt
Organism: Hippoglossus stenolepis (Pacific halibut)
Lineage: Eukaryota; Metazoa; Chordata; Actinopteri; Pleuronectiformes; Pleuronectidae
Gene name: sialic acid-binding Ig-like lectin 15
Exons: 8
Source: RefSeq, a predicted model, not a curated record
ACUUUCGGACACUGGCAGGAAAUAAUGUCUUCAUAUGACACAUUUUACAGAACUUCCUCUGCUGCCUGAAGACUUCUCUUGGUUUGCGAUGAGUCCGAGGAUGUGGCGGCAGAAUCAGCGGAUCUUUCUUAUUCUGUCAGUGAUCUUCACAGGGUCGUGCUCGGAUGGUUGGAAGAUGGCUGUCUCUCCGGUGGUCACCGCCUCCAGAGGAGAAGACGCCGUCCUCAGCUGCUCCCUCACCAAUUCCAAACAACAGCAGUAUUCAGGGAAGAUCCACGUCAAGUGGUUCGCCAGAGAGUCUGAUUCUUCACCUUUCUUCAGCUGUUCAGUUCAAAACGACUCAGCGACUCAGGGACUCGGCGACUGUUCGUUUUCUGAGCUCAAACAUUCGCUGACUGGAGAUCCACGGCGGGGGGAGCUGUCCCUCCUCAUCAGGAAGGUACAACUGACGGAUGACGGUCAAUACUUCUGCCAAGUGGAGCUGGACGGCAAGCAGAGAUUGACCCAAAAGACACAGCUUCUUGUUCCAGCUGAACCUCAGAUCCUGAGUCUCGUUGUGGUGGAGACCCCCCCAGCCUCAGGCAGCGCCCCCUGGAGGCUGCAGUGUGAGGUGGAGGGCAACCCGCUGCCUAAACUGGUUUGGUUGUCGGCCUCCAAGCUCAAGUUAGACGACCAGGGGAAGACGACUGAGUCGGGUCGGUUCCGACGGAUCGGCGAGGUGCCGUACCUGGAGGGGGAGGAGCUGACCUGCAGGGCGGAGAACAGCCUGGGCGGAGCUCAGAGGUCGUAUCCACCCAGUCAGACCCUGAUGAUAACAGCGGUGGUGUGUGGCCUCAUGGGGGCGCUGCUGCUGCUGCUGCUCUUCAUAGCGGGACUUGUUCACUGUCGCAGAAACAGAGGUGAGCGUCAGAAACAUCGUCUACAACAAGCUCCAGUCGACACUGUUUACGAGAACGUAGUGAAGGGACAUCGAGUGCGAGCGUCCGACCCUCCAGCCGACGGACACUCUGAGAUUCAGCUGGUUUAUUCAGUCGUGGACAGUGAGUCCUGUUAACAUCUCUGACCUGGUGACCCCUGAACCCUCUGAGGUCCACCUGCUCAUCAGCUGGUGAGCUCCAGCUGUCCACCUGAGCCAGUCGUCCUCUAUUCUCCUGUCAACGUUCAGCAGAUCAACAGAGAAUGUCAUGUUUGACUCAUGAAACAGAAAUCCUGUGAUACUUGUUUUCUAAACUUCUGAACAUGACUUGGUUUAAUGUCAGCCUCCGACUCAAGAGACUCCACGACUCCGUCCUCUCGUCGUGUGGAGUCUCUUUGUCCUGUUGUUGCUCAGUGAUUCAUCCAUGAGUCACGAGACCUGACUUAAAAGAAUCUUUGUUAUAUAGAUCUGGAAAAUUUGAAUAAGGCAAAGAUUGUUUCUAAAAAUAUUCGGAGACUCUGGGUUGAGAAAGUUAAGCGUUUCUGUGCCUGAAACCUGUGUUCUCCCUAAUAAAUGUCAAAUGUAAAUGUCAAUAAAUGCAUUUACUUAAAUGA